Molecule: long non-coding RNA, 450 nt
Filed under: Pan troglodytes (chimpanzee)
Lineage: Eukaryota; Metazoa; Chordata; Mammalia; Primates; Hominidae
Description: lincRNA
Source: RNAcentral
CUGUGCUUUCAAGUCUCUGGAGUCCCAUUUUUUUCUCUUCCAUAGAGUUUGUUUGCUGCAGUUUGAGCAGCCGAGGCAUAUGACAAAUACCAGGUGUCCUUAGAAGAAGAGGAGAUUGGGCCCCAGACACACAUGCACAGAAGAAAGACCACGUGAAGACAAAGGGAGAAGUCGGUGAUCUACAAACCAAGGAAACAUCCUCAGAAUGAAACCAACCUUGCCAACCCCUGAUCCUAGGCCUCCAGCCUCCACAACGGCCUUUGGACUCAGAUGGAAUUAUACCACGGGGUUUCCUGGAUCUCCAGUAUGCAGAUGGCAGAUUGUGGAACUUCUCAGCCUCCAAAAUCGAGUGAGCCAAUUCCCAUCAUAAAUCCCCUCUCCUGUGUCUAAAUAUGUCCUAUUGCUUCUCCUUCUCUGGAGAAUGCUGACUAAUACAGACAUAAUACAGCA